UCUGGCGAUGAUGACACACUUGCCCUCACUGAGAACGCUGUUCAAUAAUGAGAACCUCACACCGUAUACUCAGAGGAGCUGAGCCAGA
RNAcentral lists this small nucleolar RNA (88 nucleotides) under Gopherus agassizii (Agassiz's desert tortoise). RNAcentral's name for it is "Small nucleolar RNA SNORD103/SNORD85 (ENSGAGG00000001311.1)". It matches the Rfam family "Small nucleolar RNA SNORD103/SNORD85". From Rfam's summary of the family: This family includes the snoRNAs SNORD103 (U103) and SNORD85 (HBII-251) . The members of this family belong to the C/D class of snoRNAs which contain the C (UGAUGA) and D (CUGA) box motifs. The record is from Rfam by way of RNAcentral. Lineage: Eukaryota; Metazoa; Chordata; Testudines; Testudinidae.